CACGUAGGCGGGUUGUUAAGUCAGGGGUGAAAUCCCGGAGCUCAACUCCGGAACUGCCUUUGAUACUGGCAAUCUAGAGACCGGAAGAGGUUAGUGGAAUUCCCAGUGUAGAGGUGAAAUUCGUAGAUAUUGGGAAGAACACCAGUGGCGAAGGCGGCUAACUGGUCCAGUACUGACGCUGAGGUGCGAAAGCGUGGGGAGCAAACA
This 207-nucleotide ribosomal RNA is filed under the name uncultured bacterium. RNAcentral describes it as "partial 16S ribosomal RNA". It matches the Rfam family "Bacterial small subunit ribosomal RNA", at positions 568 to 774 of the family's 1533-position model. The record is from RNAcentral.